RNAcentral lists this ribosomal RNA (432 nucleotides) under uncultured bacterium. Its description in RNAcentral is "partial 16S ribosomal RNA". It matches the Rfam family "Bacterial small subunit ribosomal RNA", at positions 29 to 507 of the family's 1533-position model. The record is from RNAcentral.
ACGCACGCUGGCGGCAUGCCUCACCCCUGCCCGUCGGACGAGACCUUCGGGUCUAGUGGCGCACGGGUGCGUAACGCGUGGGAACCUGCCCUUAGGUUCGGAAUAACUCCCCGAAAGGGGUGCUAAUACCGGAUAAUGUCUUCGGACCAAAGAUUUAUCGCCUUUGGAUGGGCCCGCGUUGGCUUAGCUAGUUGGUAGGGUAAAAGCCUACCAAGGCGACGAUCCAUAGCUGGUCUGAGAGGAUGAUCAGCCACACUGGGACUGAGACACGGCCCAGACUCCUACGGGAGGCAGCAGUGGGGAAUAUUGGACAAUGGGCGAAAGCCUGAUCCAGCAAUGCCGCGUGAGUGAUGAAGGCCUUAGGGUUGUAAAGCUCUUUUACCCGGGAUGAUAAUGACAGUACCGGGAGAAUAAGCUCCGGCUAACUCCGUG